UGGUAAUGGAAUAAAGGACGCAUGG
This 25-nucleotide non-coding RNA is filed under the name Cricetulus griseus (Chinese hamster). The record is from RNAcentral. Lineage: Eukaryota; Metazoa; Chordata; Mammalia; Rodentia; Cricetidae.